AUUCAACUGACGAGUCCCAAAUACGACGAAACGCGCGUCCUCCAU
This 45-nucleotide non-coding RNA is filed under the name Schistosoma mansoni. The record is from RNAcentral. Lineage: Eukaryota; Metazoa; Platyhelminthes; Trematoda; Strigeidida; Schistosomatidae.